Small nuclear RNA from Jaculus jaculus (lesser Egyptian jerboa), 106 nucleotides. Lineage: Eukaryota; Metazoa; Chordata; Mammalia; Rodentia; Dipodidae. The record is from Ensembl.
GUGCUUGCUUCAGCGGCACAUAUACUAAAAUUGGAAUCAUACAGAGAAGAUUAGCAUGGCCUCUACAUAAAGAUGACUGCAAAUUCAUGAAGCAUUCCAUAUUAAA